This 3009-nucleotide long non-coding RNA is filed under the name Callithrix jacchus (white-tufted-ear marmoset). Its description in RNAcentral is "lncRNA (ENSCJAG00000084372.1)". The record is from RNAcentral. Lineage: Eukaryota; Metazoa; Chordata; Mammalia; Primates; Cebidae.
CAUUUGUGUGCCUGUGUGUGUAGUGCGUGCAUGUGUGUAUAUGUGUAUGUAGUGUGUAUAUAUGUAUAUGCCUGCAUAUGCGUAUGUAUGUGUGUGUGUGUUCAUACUAUUUGUGAAAACAUCAGAGGGAGAUGUACACUGGUACAAGGGAAAUCGCUGGGAAGAGAGUCCCCCACGUGCCUGGAAGCCUGUGGACAGAGGAUGGAGAACUCGGAGUCUCCUUUGUGCCUGGGUUUCCCAUGGGCCCUGCCCGAGGAGAGGGUGCCCCAAGCCUGAGGCGCUCUCCCUGCCUGCCUGCUCUGUGGCGCUGUGGGGCACAGUCCUGAGGCUGCAAGAAGGCGCUGGCUGCUCCGCGCCUAAUCACGGCGUCCUCCCUCCCUGGACCCCUCACCUGCGUUCCUGCCUCCACCCUGGGCCUGAGUCGCGCCCCUGCCCUGCCCAGGGCUGGGAGUCGCUCCCAAAUCGGAGCUCAUCCUCUGUGCCUCCUCCGGAACCUGCGUGUCCGUGCCUCCCGUGCCCCUCCAGUCUCAGGUGGGCUUAGAAGAAGCAGAUGCCCUGAUUCCAGCCAUGGAGACCUGAGGUUGCCUCUGCAAUGCCUGGAAUUUUGGCAGCCAUCUUGGGAUCAUGAGAAAAGUCAGCCUGAAGGAAACGUGCUGAGAAGGACAAAGGAGAAAGGUGGGAGGUUCUGGGACCUGUGGCUUCUCCUAUCAUCCUACUGGGGAGGGUGAUAAAGUCUCUUAGCUAAGCCAUGUUAAUUUGGGUUUUCGGCUGCUUGCAGCCAAAAAUUUAGCCCAACUGACAUGCAGACGGAGGAUGACGAGCCAAUACCCAGCCUCUCUGUCUGCAACACUCCUUGUCCUCCUGCAACUCACCUCUUUUCACUUCUCCUCUGAAAAGCCUGGCGUUUUCUUCUAUCCUACUUUCUGCAGGCGAAGGGCCUGAAAGUGGCUGUGGGAAGCUUCUUUGGUCUAUUCCCUCUCCUGAGAGUCCACGAAAUGUGAGAUGGGGGUCACUUCUCAGCUGAGUGUGCCCCCCAGUGACUGCUGGGCUCCAGCUUCUCCUGCAUGCAGCAAGGCUUGGAAGCCCCUCAGCCCCGCCACACUCUACUCACCUUCAUCCAGUGCAGCUACACAGGGCAUGGUCCAGCCACAAGCUCAUCUGUUCCAGACACCACCCGAGGCCCCUCAAUCUGACCACAUCUAGAUCAGAGGCUGCCAAGGAGGCUCAAGACUGCAUAGACUUGAAUGGCAGGGGACAAGCUCAGGAUGGCCUGAGACCUGAUUUUAUUUUUUAUGGGACUAUGUAGUGUACAAUGUGAUGUUUUGAUAUAAGUAUGCAUUUUGAAAUGAUUACAUUGGGCCAAUUAAGUUUUUGAUCACUUCACAUACUUAUCAUUUUGGGGGGGUGCUGAGUGCAUUUAGGAUCUACUUUCAGUAAUUUUCAAGUGUACAUACAUUAUUAUUAACUAAUAAUGCACCUUAUAUACCAUUCCAUAAAAUAGAUCUCCAGAACUUAUUUAUCCUGUCUCUUUGACCAACAUCUCCCUAUCCUCCUCAUCCCCUAGUCCCUAGCAAUGACCAUUGUUCUCUCUGCUUCUAUAAGGUCAACUUUUUAGAUUCCACAUAUAAGUGAGGUCAUGUAGUAUUUGUUUUUCUGUUACUGACUUAUUUCACUUAGCGCGAUGUCCUCCAGGUUCAUCUAUGGCAGGAUUUUCUUCUUUUUUAGGUCCGCAUUGUACCAUGUGUCUAUUUUCCAUGUUUUCUUUAUCCAUUCAUCUGUUGAUGGAUACUUAGGUUGAUUUCAUAUCUUGGCUAUUGUGAACAAUGCUACAAUGAAUGAGGGUAGAUAUCUCUUCACCAUAUUGAUUUCACUUCCUUUGGGCAUAUACCUGGAAAUGAGAUUGUCGGAUCAAAUAGUAGUUCUAUUCUUAGUUUUCGAGAAAACUCUAAACUAUUUUCAAUAAUGGCUGUACUAAUUCACUGUUGUUCAUCAACAGUGUACAAGGGUUCCCUUUUCUCCAUAUCAUUGCUAGUACCUGUUAUCUUUUAUCUUUUUUAUAAUAGCCGUUCUAACAGGUGUGAGAUGAUAUCUCAUCUUAGUUGUCAUUUGCAUUUUCCUGAUUAGUGAUGUUGAGUACUUUUCAUACACCUCUUGACCAUUUUUAUGUCCCUUUUGAGAAAUGCCUAUUCAGAUCCUUCAGCCACUUUUAAAUCAAGCUAUUAGUUUUCUUGUUAUUGAGUUAUUUGAAUUCCUUAUGUAUUUUGGAUAUUAAUUCAUUAUCAGAUAUAGAGUUUGCAAAUAUUUUCUCCUAUUCCAUAGCUUGCCUCUUCACUCUGUUGAUUGUUUCCUUUCCUGUGCAGAAGCUAUUAAGUUCAAUGCAAUUUCUUUGAUCUAUUUUACUUAUGUUUUCUGUGCCAUUGGGGCCAUAUCCAAAAAAAUCCUUUUCCAGACCAGGACCCUGGAGCUUUCCCCCUGUUUUCUUCUAGUAGUUUUACAGUUUCAGAUCUUACAUUAAGUUUUUGAUUCAUCUUAAAUUGAUUUUUGUAUGUGGUAUGAGAUGAGGGUCUAAUUUUAUUCUUUUGCAUAUGGAUUUCACAGCAUCAUUUAUUGAAGAAACUGUUCAUUCUCUAUUUUAUGUUCUUGGCAACUUUGUCAAAGAUCAAUUGACCACAAAUGCAUGAAGUUAUGUCUGGGAUCUUUAUUCUUUCCAUUGGCAUCUGUAUCUCUUUUUAUGCCACUAACAUGCUGUUUUGAUUACUAUAGCUUUUUAGUAUAUUUUGAAAUCAGGUGCUGUGAUGUUUCCAGCUUUGUUUUUAUUCCCUCAAGAUUGUUUUGGCUCUUUCGGGUCCAUACAAAUUUUAAGAUUUUUCUUUCCCUUUCUGUGAAAAAUGACACUGGGAUCCUUGCAGGGAUUGAAUUGAAUCUGUAGAUUGCUUGGGUAGUUUGGACAUUUUAACAAUAUUAAUUUUUCCAAAGCAUGGACCAACUAUCCUUCCAUUUAUUCAUGUC